CCUACGGGAGGCAGCAGUGGGGAAUAUUGCACAAUGGGCGAAAGCCUGAUGCAGCAACGCCGCGUGAGCGAUGAAGGUCUUCGGAUCGUAAAGCUCUGUCCUCAAGGAAGAAUUUUGACGGUACUUGAGGAGGAAGCCCCGGCUAACUACGUGCCAGCAGCCGCGGUAAUACGUAGGGGGCUAGCGUUAUCCGGAAUUAUUGGGCGUAAAGGGUGCGUAGGCGGUCCUACAAGUCAGAGGUGAAAGGCUACGGCUCAACCGUAGUAAGCCUUUGAAACUGUAGGACUUGAGUGCAGGAGAGGAGAGUGGAAUUCCCAGUGUAGCGGUGAAAUGCGUAGAUAUUGGGAGGAACACCAGUUGCGAAGGCGGCUCUCUGGACUGUAACUGACGCUGAGGCACGAAAGCGUGGGGAGCGAACAGGAUUAGAUACCCUGGUAGUCCACGCCGUAAACGAUGAGUACUAGGUGUCGGGGGUUACCCCCCUCGGUGCCGCAGCUAACGCAUUAAGUACUCCGCCUGGGAAGUACGCUCGCAAGGGUGAAACUCAAAUGAAUUGACGGAAUCACUAGU
This 570-nucleotide ribosomal RNA is filed under the name uncultured bacterium. RNAcentral's name for it is "bacterial SSU rRNA". It matches the Rfam family "Bacterial small subunit ribosomal RNA", at positions 338 to 926 of the family's 1533-position model. The record is from RNAcentral.